Molecule: ribosomal RNA, 254 nt
Filed under: uncultured bacterium
Lineage: Bacteria
Description: partial 16S ribosomal RNA
Rfam family: Bacterial small subunit ribosomal RNA
Source: RNAcentral
GACAGAGGUCCCGAGCGUUAGGCGGAAUCACUGGGCUUAAAGCGUGUGUAGGCGGAUUUGUAAGUACCUUGUGAAAUCCCACGGCUCAACCGUGGAACUGCUUGGUAUACUGCUUAUCUUGGGCCAUCUAGGGGCUACCGGAACAAGUGGUGGAGCGGUGAAAUGCGUAGAUAUCACUUGGAACGCCAAUGGUGAAAACAGGUAGCUGGGGGAUGUGCCGACGCUGAGACACGAAAGCCAGGGGAGCGAACGGG